GUGUAGAGGCGGCAGGGUAGCCUAGUGGUUAGAGGGUAGAGGCGGCAGGGUAGCCUAGUGGUUAGAGGGUAGAGGCGGCAGGGUAGCCUAGUGGUUAGAGGGUAGAGGCGGCAGGGUAGCCUAGUGGGUAGAGGCGGCAGGGUAGCCUAGUGGUUAGAGUGUAGAGGCGGCAGGGUAGCCUAGUGGUUAGAGGGUAGAGGCGGCAGGGUAGCCUAGUGGUUAGAGGGUAGAGGCGGCAGGGUAGCCUAGUGGGUAGAGGCGGCAGGGUAGCCUAGUGGGUAGAGGCGGCAGGGUAGCCUAGUGGUUAGAGGGGAGAGGCGGCAGGGUAGCCUAGUGGUU
Molecule: long non-coding RNA, 339 nt
Organism: Oncorhynchus keta (chum salmon)
Lineage: Eukaryota; Metazoa; Chordata; Actinopteri; Salmoniformes; Salmonidae
Exons: 4
Source: RefSeq, a predicted model, not a curated record